UUUUGGCUGAAUUAGUGAUCGGCUAAAACACAAUUUAAAUUAAUUUUUGGAGUUACUAUGUCACUAAGCAAUCAAGAAAAAGUUGAGAUCAUCGGUAAAUUUGCACGCGCUGA
This 113-nucleotide non-coding RNA is filed under the name uncultured Pseudoalteromonas sp. RNAcentral describes it as "Ribosomal S15 leader". It matches the Rfam family "Ribosomal S15 leader". From Rfam's summary of the family: The E. coli Ribosomal S15 gene 5' UTR can form two alternative structures. One that is a series of three hairpins, The other includes a pseudoknot. The record is from RNAcentral. Lineage: Bacteria; Pseudomonadati; Pseudomonadota; Gammaproteobacteria; Alteromonadales; Pseudoalteromonadaceae.